AUCCUGGACUCUGGUUCGCGUUGUAGAGAAAGCGGUUCUGUAAUACAGUACGCAUUCUCAACGAAUAAACGGCUCAGCGAUGGGCCGUUUAUUUU
RNAcentral lists this small RNA (95 nucleotides) under Salmonella enterica subsp. enterica serovar Typhi. Its description in RNAcentral is "StyR-68". Lineage: Bacteria; Pseudomonadati; Pseudomonadota; Gammaproteobacteria; Enterobacterales; Enterobacteriaceae. The record is from RNAcentral.